GAUGAACGCUGGCGGCGUGCCUAAUACAUGCAAGUCGAGCGAACGGACGAGAAGCUUGCUUCUCUGAUGUUAGCGGCGGACGGGUGAGUAACACGCGGAUAACCUACCUAUAAGACUGGGAUAACUUCGGGAAACCGGAGCUAAUACCGGAUAAUAUUUUGAACCGCAUGGUUCAAAAGUGAAAGACGGUCUUGCUGUCACUUAUAGAUGGAUCCGCGCUGCAUUAGCUAGUUGGUAAGGUAACGGCUUACCAAGGCAACGAUGCAUAGCCGACCUGGGAGGGUGAUCGGCCACACUGGAACUGAGACACGGUCCAGACUCCUACGGGAGGCAGCAGUAGGGAAUCUUCCGCAAUGGGCGAAAGCCUGACGGAGCAACGCCGCGUGAGUGAUGAAGGUCUUCGGAUCGUAAAACUCUGUUAUUAGGGAAGAACAUAUGUGUAAGUAACUGUGCACAUCGUGACGGUACCUAAUCAGAAAGCCACGGCUAACUACGUG
This 497-nucleotide ribosomal RNA is filed under the name uncultured bacterium. RNAcentral describes it as "partial 16S ribosomal RNA". It matches the Rfam family "Bacterial small subunit ribosomal RNA", at positions 28 to 507 of the family's 1533-position model. The record is from RNAcentral.